UUGACCUCAAAUCAGGUAGGACUACCCGCUGAACUUAAGCAUAUCAAUUAGCGGAGGAAG
This 60-nucleotide ribosomal RNA is filed under the name Schizophyllum commune. Its description in RNAcentral is "partial 28S ribosomal RNA". It matches the Rfam family "Eukaryotic large subunit ribosomal RNA", at positions 1 to 59 of the family's 3401-position model. Lineage: Eukaryota; Fungi; Basidiomycota; Agaricomycetes; Agaricales; Schizophyllaceae. The record is from RNAcentral.